GCUUAACACAUGCAAGUCGAGGGGUAACAGGUUCUUUCGGGAAUGCUGACGACCGGCGCACGGGUGAGUAACGCGUAUGCAACCUGCCUGUAUUCGAAGGAUAGGCCUUGGAAACGAGGAUUAAUACUUCAUAACAUUUUGAUUUCGCAUGGAAUUAUAAUCAAAACUUCGGUGAAUACAGAUGGGCAUGCGUACCAUUAGUUAGAUGGUGAGGUAACGGCUCACCAUGGCGAUGAUGGUUAGGGGUCCUGCAAGGAAGGUCCCCCACACUGGUACUGAGACACGGACCAGACUCCUACGGGAGGCAGCAGUGAGGAAUAUUGGUCAAUGGAGGGAAUUCUGAACCAGCCAAGCCGCGUGAAGGAAGACUGUCCUAUGGAUUGUAAACUUCUUUUCUGGCAGAAUAAAUAUAGCUACGUGUAGUUAUUUGCAGGUAUGCCAUGAAAAAGCAUCGGCUAACUCCGUGCCAGCAGCCGCGGUAAUACGGAGGAUGCAGGCGUUAUCCGGAUUUAUUAGGUUUAAAGGGUGUUCAGGCUGUCUGGUAAGUCAGAGGUGAAAGUCGUUUGCUUAACGAACGAAUUGCCUUUGAAACUGUCAGACUCGAGUAUGGAUGCGGUAGGCGGAAUGUGUAGUGUAGCGGUGAAAUGCAUAGAUAUUACACAGAACACCGAUUGCGAAAGCAGCUUACCAAACCAGCACUGACGCUGAAGCACGAAAGCGUGGGUAGCGAACAGGAUUAGAUACCCUGGUAGUCCACGCAGUAAACUUUGCUCACUCGCUGUUGGCGAUAUACAGUCAGCGGCUAAGGGAAACCGAUAAGUGAGCCACCUGGGGAGUACGAUCGCAAGAUUGAAACUCCCAAGGAAUUGACGGUGGCCCGCACAAGCGGUGGAACCAUGUGGUUCAAUUCGAUGAUACGCG
This 921-nucleotide ribosomal RNA is filed under the name uncultured organism. RNAcentral's name for it is "bacterial SSU rRNA". It matches the Rfam family "Bacterial small subunit ribosomal RNA", at positions 46 to 963 of the family's 1533-position model. The record is from RNAcentral.